AUUGAACGCUGGCGGCAUGCCUUACACAUGCAAGUCGAACGGUAACGCGGGGGCAACCUGGCGACGAGUGGCGAACGGGUGAGUAAUGCAUCGGAACGUACCCAGUAGUGGGGGAUAGCCCGGCGAAAGCCGGAUUAAUACCGCAUACGACCUAAGGGUGAAAGCGGGGGACCGUAAGGCCUCGCGCUAUUGGAGCGGCCGAUGUCAGAUUAGGUAGUUGGUGGGGUAAAGGCCUACCAAGCCUUCGAUCUGUAGCUGGUCUGAGAGGACGACCAGCCACACUGGGACUGAGACACGGCCCAGACUCCUACGGGAGGCAGCAGUGGGGAAUUUUGGACAAUGGGCGAAAGCCUGAUCCAGCCAUGCCGCGUGCGGGAAGAAGGCCUUCGGGUUGUAAACCGCUUUUGUCAGGGAAGAAACGCUCUGGGCUAAUACCCUGGGGUAAUGACGGUACCUGAAGAAUAAGCACCGGCUAACUACGUG
RNAcentral lists this ribosomal RNA (483 nucleotides) under uncultured bacterium. RNAcentral's name for it is "bacterial SSU rRNA". It matches the Rfam family "Bacterial small subunit ribosomal RNA", at positions 29 to 507 of the family's 1533-position model. The record is from RNAcentral.